Molecule: ribosomal RNA, 310 nt
Filed under: uncultured Pseudomonas sp.
Lineage: Bacteria; Pseudomonadati; Pseudomonadota; Gammaproteobacteria; Pseudomonadales; Pseudomonadaceae
Description: bacterial SSU rRNA
Rfam family: Bacterial small subunit ribosomal RNA
Source: RNAcentral
GGGCGAAGCCUGAUCCGCCAUGCCGCGGUGUGUGAAGAAGGUCUUCGGAUUGUAAAGCACUUUAAGUUGGGAGGAAGGGCAGUAAGUUAAUACCUUGCUGUUUUGACGUUACCAACAGAAUAAGCACCGGCUAACUUCGUGCCAGCAGCCGCGGUAAUACGAAGGGUGCAAGCGUUAAUCGGAAUUACUGGGCGUAAAGCGCGCGUAGGUGGUUCAGCAAGUUGGAUGUGAAAUCCCCGGGCUCAACCUGGGAACUGCAUCCAAAACUACUGAGCUAGAGUACGGUAGAGGGUGGUGGAAUUUCCUGUGU